Triticum aestivum (bread wheat) is the source of this 1541-nucleotide long non-coding RNA. RefSeq lists it as uncharacterized. The transcript is spliced from 2 exons. NCBI's taxonomy places the organism in Eukaryota, Viridiplantae, Streptophyta, Magnoliopsida, Poales, Poaceae. The record is from RefSeq and is a predicted model, not a curated record.
UUUGCCAAUAUUAAGAACACUAUUUUUUUCGCCGAAUAUUUAGAAUAUGAAGCAUGUGCUUUUGCAUCCCUAUUACGGAUAUAUCACUGUUAUGACAGAAAUGCAAUAUCCAAGCAGCUAAUACUAAAGAUAGGGUUUGUUGGUUUGAUCCUAAGUCUACCUUACAAGAAUUUGGUUACAAGAAUUUUCUUGCUCGGGAUUCGGCCAAUUUAAGCAAAAGAAUUGUACCACGGCAACUAAAGGGGCAUGUGUAUUCCAAAAAAGUGGAAACCAUACAGACAUUGGCCAAAUAUUACCAGGGCCGAUUAUUGGCAGAGUAUAUUUUGGCCAUGAACCAAACAUACUCAUAGUGCCCUGUCUAUGAACACCGAGAAGAUUCGCAAGUCACACUGCAUGUCUUUUUAUACUAUUAUCAUUUUGCGAGGAAGCAUGGUUCAAAGUUUCAUUAAUAAAAUUUCUCACCUUAACCCUCUUAACAAAGCUAAGAGAUUCCUCAAAUGUGACAGGUUCCCACUUAGACAUGGAGCCCCGACAGCUCAGGACCAGACCCUGGAUUGCCUUUAAAGACACAAAAUUCCACAGAUUACUGCAGAAGUUCAGAACCAAGAGAAUACAGUUUGUCGACAAUUACUCGAGAGCAGAACCAAAACUCACAAGAUUUGAUUUUAAGAAAAGAGAACGGGAACAUUAGAGCUCACAAAAGGUAAGCAUAAUAACUUUGUCAACACCAAAAAUCAUUUUAAUUAUCCUGCAGUGUUCAAUUUUCCAGGUAGAAGAGAUGAUAUUCUGCUGGCAGCGAUUGGAACAAAACAGUUUAUUCUGACCAGCUCCAUGGUCAAAAUUCACAAGGCACAAAUAUCAUCCACAAACAACAGGUACAGAUUUGGGGCAGUCGCCAGGACAAGUAAUUAAUCAACAAAUCAGGAAGCAAACCUAUAAACAGGAUAUAAACUGCAGUUAUCAGAAUCAGAUGAACGCAUUCUUUUAGGAGCGGUGAUCAAGAACGAGAACCAGACCACCAAAAUCCAUCUCUAGGCAACGGAGUGAGGGUUCUCGGAAAAAAAAGGAAAGGUUCUUUCUCACCUGGAACAGACAAGAAAUGGAUGAGAUUGGGAGUCACUGCGAACAGCUUUUCAUCCGAAUGAGCGAGCCCUUUGGAAUCCGUCAGGCAGACAGGCGAGAAGAGAAGGAUUAGGUUGGAGAUGGCAAAAGGGGGAGAGGAGGGGAGACUAGAGGAAGGAGGCUGCGCAACAGCAACUGGGCGGGGUGGCAGCUGGGGGUUGGACUCGAGCGAAGUUGGGGGCGAAAGCAGAGACCGGGAGGGCGAAGGGGGCAGCUGCUGGGAGUGGGAGCGAGAGAAAAUAUGCGGUGAAAAAAGUUACAGUGAAAAAUAGAGGCGUGUUUGGUUGCCAUCAGCUAGGCUACGGUACCUGCGCUGCAUACCCUUUCUACUCAGCCUGGCUCUGAAAAAACAACCUCAUAUGUAACAUCUGCAAGUUGUUUGGUUGUCUGCAUAUGAACUUCCUGCAUUAUGGGAUCAA